Molecule: long non-coding RNA, 464 nt
Filed under: Pongo abelii (Sumatran orangutan)
Lineage: Eukaryota; Metazoa; Chordata; Mammalia; Primates; Hominidae
Description: lincRNA
Source: RNAcentral
UCACACCUGUAAUCCCAGCACUUUGGAAGGCUGAGCUGGGAGGAUUGCUUGAGGCUGGCAGUUUGAGACUUCUUCCAUUUUAAGGGACCUUGUGAUUACAGCUGGUCCAUCUGGAUAUUCUAAGAUACUCUCCCUAUUUUAAGGAAGAUGAAUAAGAAGAGGGAGCCUCUUCCAGGAAGAUAAAUGCCGAAAAAGCUACCCUUUCUCCAUCUGGGGAUGGAUGAUGCCAAAAUGAUGCCCCCUUCCAGGCUGAUAUGGAGAGAAAUCUGAAAUCUGAGGUGCAGUUGAUUUGAAUCCAGGAAAUCUAAGGAAAAAGUUCAAGCUCUUAAUCAUUUCAUACCCUCCUUGUUGUUAAUUUAAACUUUUUUUUAAAAAAAGUUAAUCUUGUCUAUGAAGCAUGAAUCUCUAAUACUAGGGGAAAAACUGGCUAACUUGAAGAAAAAAUAAAUUGAAAUGGAAAGCAA